Molecule: ribosomal RNA, 701 nt
Filed under: uncultured bacterium
Lineage: Bacteria
Description: bacterial SSU rRNA
Rfam family: Bacterial small subunit ribosomal RNA
Source: RNAcentral
AGAGUUUGAUCCUGGCUCAGGACGAACGCUGGCGGCGUGCUUAACACAUGCAAGUCGAACGGAAUCCAUGGUGUAGCAAUACACCGGAAGAUUUAGUGGCGAACGGGUGAGGAUCACGUGAGAAACCUGCCCCAGACUUUGGGAUAACAAUUGGAAACGAUUGCUAAUACCGAAUGACGUCGGAGAACCGCAUGGUUCACUGACGAAAGGAAAUCCGGUUUGGGAGGGUCUCGCGGCCUAUCAGCUUGUUGGUGGGGUAAUGGCCUACCAAGGCAACGACGGGUAGCUGGUCUGAGAGGAUGAUCAGCCACACUGGGACUGAGACACGGCCCAGACUCCUACGGGAGGCAGCAGUGGGGAAUCUUGCGCAAUGGGCGAAAGCCUGACGCAGCAACGCCGCGUGCGGGAUGAAGGCCUUCGGGCUGUAAACCGCUUUCAGCAGGAACGAAAAUGACGGUACCUGCAGAAGAAGGAGCGGCCAACUACGUGCCAGCAGCCGCGGUGACACGUAGGCUCCAAGCGUUGUCCGGAUUUAUUGGGCGUAAAGAGCUCGUAGGCGGUUUAGUAAGUCGGGUGUUAAAACUCUGGGCUCAACCCGGAGAGGCCAUCCGAUACUGCUGUGACUUGAGUUCAGGNNNGGAGCGGGGAAUUCCUAGUGUAGCGGUGAAAUGCGCAGNUAUUANNNNNAACACCGGUGGCGA